GACGAGCGCUGGCGGCGUGCUUAACACAUGCAAGUCGAACGGAAAGGCCCUGCUUUUGUGGGGUGCUCGAGUGGCGAACGGGUGAGUAACACGUGAGUAACCUGCCCUUGACUUUGGGAUAACUUCAGGAAACUGGGGCUAAUACCGGAUAGGAGCUCCUGCUGCAUGGUGGGGGUUGGAAAGUUUCGGCGGUUGGGGAUGGACUCGCGGCUUAUCAGCUUGUUGGUGGGGUAGUGGCUUACCAAGGCUUUGACGGGUAGCCGGCCUGAGAGGGUGACCGGCCACAUUGGGACUGAGAUACGGCCCAGACUCCUACGGGAGGCAGCAGUGGGGAAUGUUGCACAAUGGGCGGAAGCCUGAUGCAGCAACGCCGCGUGCGGGAUGACGGCCUUCGGGUUGUAAACCGCUUUCGCCUGUGACGAAGCGUGAGUGACGGUAAUGGUAAAGAAG
Molecule: ribosomal RNA, 450 nt
Filed under: Cutibacterium acnes
Lineage: Bacteria; Bacillati; Actinomycetota; Actinomycetes; Propionibacteriales; Propionibacteriaceae
Description: bacterial SSU rRNA
Rfam family: Bacterial small subunit ribosomal RNA
Source: RNAcentral